RNAcentral lists this non-coding RNA (23 nucleotides) under Cricetulus griseus (Chinese hamster). The record is from RNAcentral. Lineage: Eukaryota; Metazoa; Chordata; Mammalia; Rodentia; Cricetidae.
AGUGAUAGAGUGCCUAACAGAGA